This 711-nucleotide long non-coding RNA is filed under the name Parus major (Great Tit). Its description in RNAcentral is "lncRNA (ENSPMJG00000005004.1)". Lineage: Eukaryota; Metazoa; Chordata; Aves; Passeriformes; Paridae. The record is from RNAcentral.
UUGCCCAUUUCUUAUGUGUUUAAAGACUAAUUAUAAGAAUAAAGAUUUAGUGAUCAAUGCAGAAUUCUAAUUUAAUUGUUGAGUAUUAGAAUGCAUUUUCUCCCCCUCUUCUAACUUAGAAACUGAAUUUUUUUUUUUUUUCAUUUUUUUCCUACCUGGCAAAAGCUAAUUUAAUCCAACUGGAUUGCACAUUCGAAAUGUACAGAAUUUUGGUCCGAUUUACCGAGUAUCACUCCCUGGAUAUAGCUCAAUUUUCCCUCACAGGACUGACAGAUGCCUAAAUGCAAGAGAUUGUUCUUGUCAAGGGAGGCACUGACACAAAUUCAGUUGUGUGGGUUGUUGGCUCUGUCUGAUGUUGUCCCUUCUAAUGCUACAGAACAAAUCACCUUGCACAAGGAUCUGGGAAUCUCAUUGCUGCUCUCUUUGUUCGGGCCCAGAGGUUCCUCUUCUGCUGCACUUACCCUGAGGACUGGGGCUGAUCAUGCUGAGAUUUGGGCAGCACCUCAUCAAGCCCUCGGUGGUGUUCCUGAGGACGGAGCUGUGCUUUGCCCUGGUGAACCGCAGGCCGGUGGUGCCAGGACGUAUCCUUUCCACAGCCGAUCCUGGGAAAAGCAGCACACGCUCGGGGAGCUUGGAAGGCCAGGUAGGAUGGAAUAAUAUUCCUGGUUUAUUCCAAAAACCAGGCAGUGAUGCUUGAUCAGAAGAUGCUUG